Molecule: ribosomal RNA, 957 nt
Filed under: Cordyceps sp.
Lineage: Eukaryota; Fungi; Ascomycota; Sordariomycetes; Hypocreales; Cordycipitaceae
Description: SSU rRNA
Rfam family: Eukaryotic small subunit ribosomal RNA
Source: RNAcentral
CGUUUAUUUGAUAGUACCUUACUACUUGGAUAACCGUGGUAAUUCUAGAGCUAAUACAUGCUGAAAACCCCAACUUCGGAAGGGAUGUAUUUAUUAGAUUAAAAACCAAUGCCCUCUGGGCUCCUUGGUGAUUCAUAAUAACUUUUCGAAUCGCACGGCCUUGCGCCGGCGAUGGUUCAUUCAAAUUUCUUCCCUAUCAACUUUCGAUGUUUGGGUAUUGGCCAAACAUGGUUGCAACGGGUAACGGAGGGUUAGGGCUCGACCCCGGAGAAGGAGCCUGAGAAACGGCUACUACAUCCAAGGAAGGCAGCAGGCGCGCAAAUUACCCAAUCCCGAUUCGGGGAGGUAGUGACAAUAAAUACUGAUACAGGGCUCUUUUGGGUCUUGUAAUUGGAAUGAGUACAAUUUAAAUCUCUUAACGAGGAACAAUUGGAGGGCAAGUCUGGUGCCAGCAGCCGCGGUAAUUCCAGCUCCAAUAGCGUAUAUUAAAGUUGUUGUGGUUAAAAAGCUCGUAGUUGAACCUUGGGCCUGGCUGGCCGGUCCGCCUCACCGCGUGUACUGGUCCGGCCGGGCCUUUCCCUCUGUGGAACCACAUGCCCUUCACUGGGUGUGGCGGGGAAACAGGACUUUUACUUUGAAAAAAUUAGAGUGCUCCAGGCAGGCCUAUGCUCGAAUACAUUAGCAUGGAAUAAUAAAAUAGGACGCGUGGUUCUAUUUUGUUGGUUUCUAGGACCGCCGUAAUGAUUAAUAGGGACAGUCGGGGGCAUCAGUAUUCAAUUGUCAGAGGUGAAAUUCUUGGAUUUAUUGAAGACUAACUACUGCGAAAGCAUUUGCCAAGGAUGUUUUCAUUAAUCAGGAACGAAAGUUAGGGGAUCGAAGACGAUCAGAUACCGUCGUAGUCUUAACCAUAAACUAUGCCGACUAGGGAUCGGACGAUGUUAUCAUAGACUCGUUCUG